This 819-nucleotide ribosomal RNA is filed under the name uncultured fungus. RNAcentral's name for it is "eukaryotic LSU rRNA". The stretch from base 502 to 819 matches the Rfam family "Eukaryotic large subunit ribosomal RNA", at positions 1 to 319 of the family's 3401-position model. The record is from RNAcentral. Lineage: Eukaryota; Fungi.
UAGGUGACCUGCGGAAGGAUCAUUACUGAGAAACGAGGCCUCCGGGUCUCCCUCAUUAAUACCCUGCCUUCCAACAAAGUCCCCCCAAGGGGACAUUGAAUUUUAUGUUGGGAGGGUCUGGAAGGACUCUCCGACCCCUAUAAACUCUGAAUGUUUGUGCAGUCUGAGUAUAUAUUCUUAAUAUAUGAAAACUUUCAACAACGGAUCUCUUGGUUCCCGCAUCGAUGAAGAACGCAGCGAAAUGCGAUAAGUAAUGUGAAUUGCAGAAUUCAGUGAAUCAUCGAAUCUUUGAACGCACAUUGCACCCUUUGGCAUUCCGAGGGGUAUGUCUGUUCGAGCGUCAUUUAUACCUCAAGCCCUAGGCUUGGUGAUGGGCAAUGCCAGCUAUAAGGCAUGCCUGAAAAUCAGAGGCAGUGAAGCCUGAGUGCGGAAGCGUAGUGAUAAUUUUAUAACCGCUUAGGCCUCAGGUGAAGCUUGCAGAACACCAAACUUCAAUGUUUUUGACCUCGGAUCAGGUAGGGAUACCCGCUGAACUUAAGCAUAUCAAUAAGCGGAGGAAAAGAAACCAACUGGGAUUGCCUCAGUAACGGCGAGUGAAGCGGCAUCAGCUCAGAUUUGAAAUCUGGUUCUUUCAGAGCCCGAGUUGUAAUCUGUAGAGGAGUCUUCGGGUUUGGAUCUGGCCUAAGUUUCUUGGAACAGAACGUCAUAGAGGGUGAGAGUCCCGUAUGAGGCCAGCUGCCUAUUCCCAUGUGAAGCUUCUCGACGAGUCGAGUUGUUUGGGAAUGCAGCUCAAUGGGUGGUAAAUUCAUCUAAAGCUAA